AAAUAGAAAGCGAAAAUUUGCAUUCAGUUUCGACCUGAACCCUUGGUUAAAAACCUCUAUUUU
RNAcentral lists this transfer RNA (63 nucleotides) under Limulus polyphemus (Atlantic horseshoe crab). Its description in RNAcentral is "tRNA-Arg". Lineage: Eukaryota; Metazoa; Arthropoda; Merostomata; Xiphosura; Limulidae. The record is from RNAcentral.